Molecule: long non-coding RNA, 1272 nt
Organism: Danaus plexippus (monarch butterfly)
Lineage: Eukaryota; Metazoa; Arthropoda; Insecta; Lepidoptera; Nymphalidae
Exons: 2
Source: RefSeq, a predicted model, not a curated record
AGAAACCUAUUAUAAGGCUUAUCAUGUUUAUAUGUGGGUCAUUAAAAUAGAGAUUUAUCCUCAACAAUGCGAUGACUUAAUUGUUGUCUCAGUGUUCAUGAGAAUUUAUAAAUCAAUUAUGUUAUCAAUCUCACCUAUAACAAAAGAUGGCGCUGUCAGUAUAGCCUCCGCUUUAUGUUCCUGUAGAAGCCUUUGUGUAAACACAUCAAGAUGCAAGAGACCGAGGAAGCCUACACGCCAUCCCUGACCUAAAGCUGGGCUGUAAAAGUAUUAAUAUUCUAUAAUAAAAUAUUUCUUAUUAAGGUAUCUAGGAGUAAAUAUUUACUUCAGGUAAUGAAGUAGUACACCAAUAACAAAAAAAAAUUAACACCUAGUUUAAAUUUUGCACAAAUAUUUAUUAAUGCAAAAUUGAAACAUAGUCAUAAGCAUAAUAGAAAAUAUCAAUUUUCAAUUCAAUUAGAGUUUAGACAACUUUCAAAACGAAAUGACAAUUCAACAUACCUGGAAUCCACAGUUACACUAACAGCGGAAUCAUUUAAUGCCAGCUUCCUGAUAGCGUCACUUAACUGUGUAUGUUGUGACUGAUCGGAAGGAAAGAUUCCAGCAUACACCAUGUGUUUGACCACUGGCGCCGAGGCCACUUUAAUGCCAUCUGCUGAUUCCAUGGACAGUAAUUCAUCACCAACACAUCCGCCUCCUUUUGGACCACAACCUAGAAAGGUUAUAAAUCAAAUAUAUUUGCAAAAACAUAUUCUGUUACUUUACUACUACUUCUACAAAUUGCUUCUUUUUUUCCAUAGUGUUGUGUAUUAGUUAUACUUGCUCGGUAUUGUUUAAUAAUAUAAUGUCAAGUAUAAUGUAUAUAUUACGAGUUUAAUAUAGUUUUAUUUGAUAGCACACACAAUAUCGUCCAUAUUUUUAAUCAUUUCAUACUGUUCUCAUUUUAAUUAUUACAUAAUGAAUUCUCAUAUGUAUGUAAUACAAAUUCUUGGUAUAAAUUACUUGCUAAACUUCCACUUACCCACCAUCACAACUUGCCCGGCUACAGCCUUUUUUAUUGGUUCUUCAUUAGGCCGCAAUAAUGCUAAGUAUUUGAGGACAUGCGGUUUGCUGUCAGAUCUCCACCGCACAGUUUCACCCACUUCCACUGAUCCUGAUUCUAUAUAAGCCAAACACAUAAUCCCUCUAAAUUUAUCAUGCCAGGUGUCUAUUAUUGAGGCUCUAAAAGGUUUCCUAACUUCUACUGUUGGUGGAGGUAUUCUGGAUAUAACA